Molecule: ribosomal RNA, 66 nt
Filed under: uncultured bacterium
Lineage: Bacteria
Description: partial 16S ribosomal RNA
Source: RNAcentral
CACCACGAAGUAGCUAGUCUAACCUUCGGAGGACGGUUACCACGGUGUGAUUCGAUGACUGGGGUG